GCCUGUUUGGCUCAGUGGAUAGAGUGUCAGCCUGUGGACUGAAGGGUGCUGGGUUCGAUUCCAGUCAAGGGCA
RNAcentral lists this transfer RNA (73 nucleotides) under Myotis myotis. It matches the Rfam family "tRNA". Rfam says of the family: Transfer RNA (tRNA) molecules are approximately 80 nucleotides in length. Their secondary structure includes four short double-helical elements and three loops (D, anti-codon, and T loops). Lineage: Eukaryota; Metazoa; Chordata; Mammalia; Chiroptera; Vespertilionidae. The record is from Rfam by way of RNAcentral. RNAcentral also lists the same sequence under 1 other name.